Molecule: ribosomal RNA, 301 nt
Filed under: uncultured bacterium
Lineage: Bacteria
Description: partial 16S ribosomal RNA
Rfam family: Bacterial small subunit ribosomal RNA
Source: RNAcentral
CAGCAGCCGCGGUAAUACGUAGGUGGCAAGCGUUGUCCGGAAUUAUUUGGCGUAAAGCGCGCGCAGGCGGAUCAGUUGGUCUGUCUUAAAAGUUCGGGGCUUAACCCCGUGAGGGGACGGAAACUGCUGAUCUAGAGUAUCGGAGAGGAAAGUGGAAUUCCUAGUGUAGCGGUGAAAUGCGUAGAUAUUAGGAAGAACACCAGUGGCGAAGGCGACUUUCUGGACGAAAACUGACGCUGGGGCGCGAAAGCCAGGGGAGCGAACGGGAUUAGAUACCCCCGUAGUCCCUGUCUCUUAUACA